GGUGGACAUAGGCUCCGUAGUUUUGCGCAGCGCCCGGCAACUGGUACAAGGGGAGGCAUCCUACUUCUAUGGGAUGAUAUAUUAGUUGAAGCAUCCAACGUCACCAACACUGCGUAUUGCUUGUCCACCAUGAUCCGUGUAAGAGCGACCGACGUGGUCUUCAAGUUCACAUCUGUCUACGGCCCCACCGACCCCUCUUGCAAAGACGUGUUCUUUGCCGAGCUCCUCAGCCAGAAGCCGCCUUUGGGGGUGGCUUGGCUUGCCUCCGGAGACUUUAAUCAAAUUUAUCGGGCGAGAGACAAGAACAAGAGAAAUGUUCACCAUGGCAGGAUCAACCGUUUUCGGGCCACGCUCCAUAGUUGCGAGCUCAAAGAAAUCCAUCUCCAAAAUCGAAGGUUCACUUGGAGCAACGAGAGGGAAAACCCAACGCUAUGCAAGCUUGACUCUUUUUUCUGCAAUGCCGAGUGGGAUACAACCUUCAACACGCAUAUCCUCCAUGCACUUUCAUCAUCCCUCUCCGAUCAUUGUCCGCUUUUGCUUGCCGAUGACAAGGGCCCGCGGAGGCCACGAACUUUUAAAUUUGAAAACUUUUGGGCAUCCAUGCCCGGCUUCAACGAGGUGGUCCAAAUGGCGUGGAACGAACGGGUUAACCAUACCGAUCCCUAUCAAAUCAUCUUCCACAAGCUCAAAAAGACGGCGAUCCGCCUCUCCGAAUGGAGUAGGGGCCUUUUCUCCAAGGCUAAAAUCCAUCUCCAAUCCGCUCUUUUGGUGAUUCUUCGCCUCGACAUCGCCCAAGAGGAUAGGCCUCUCUCGCCCGAGGAGCGUGACCUACGGGCUAGGCUUAAGAGAAGGGUCAUUGCUUUGGCCGUGAUCGAGAGAUCGCGCAAGAAACAAUGUGCGCGAAUCUCCAACCUCAAAGAAGGUGACGCCAAUACUAAAUUCUUCCACCGCCGGGUUAAUGCUAGGAGGAGAAAAAAUCAUAUCCAUCGAAUCAAGAACGAGCAUGGUUGGGUCACCGAGCAUGAAGCCAAAGAGAAAUUAAUCCAAGACCACUUCUCCCAUGUUAUGAAGAAAGGAGCGAAAAGUUCAAAAGAUUUCAAUUGGGAGGAGCUCAAUAUGGAACUCCUUGACAUGCAUGGCCUUGACUCUCCAAUGACCGAAAUGGAGGUUCUUCAAGCAAUCAACGACAUGCCUAAUGACAAGGCCCCGGGUCCGGAUGGAUUCACGGGCCUAUUCUUCAAAAAGUGUUGGGGCACUGUCAAGCACGACCUCAUGAGGGCCAUUGCUCGUUUCGACUCCCUCCAGACUUCGAACCUCCACUGGCUCAACUCUGCGAAUGUGGUGCUCUUGCCAAAAAAGGAUGGGGCAGAGGGGAUUGCGGACUAUAGGCCUAUUAGUCUUAUC
Molecule: ribosomal RNA, 1404 nt
Filed under: Triticum aestivum (bread wheat)
Lineage: Eukaryota; Viridiplantae; Streptophyta; Magnoliopsida; Poales; Poaceae
Description: partial small subunit ribosomal RNA
Source: RNAcentral